This 7389-nucleotide long non-coding RNA is filed under the name Homo sapiens (human). Its description in RNAcentral is "HSALNT0313877". Lineage: Eukaryota; Metazoa; Chordata; Mammalia; Primates; Hominidae. The record is from RNAcentral.
ACACUCCAUAAGUCUCGGCACUGCUCAUCAGCCCAUGUGUCAGCACGCUCUUGCUGAUGGGAGCAGCGGGGAGAAACGCCAUACUGGGAAGUCACUGCUGGUGUGGGACAAGUUACAAGAUGCUUCUGGGGGAGGAAAAUGUGUAUCAUCAACUCCUCAGGACAGUGAAGCCUGCUCAGUCUAGACUUACAUGAGAGACUACUCAAUGACUCUCACAGAAAAGAGAUCUUCCCAAGGUGACAUCUUCUCCUCCUAAGCCAAUAAGGUCAUCUUACUCACAGUCCACUUCCAGGAACUGACCCCAAAUGGACAGAAUCUACUUAUAUCAUGGCACAGCUGUCAACUUCUCUUGCUAAAGAAGAGAAUAACGCUCACAAAAUUGCCCCAGAUGGCGGUGCAACAUUUUUGGGCCAAGUACUACAACUGAAAAGCAUGAACAGAGUUUUACCAGCGGGUUACAGAAAACUAGUGACAUGCUCUUGGAGAAGCCCCUCUUACAGAAGGCCAAAGAAGCUGAGAAAGCACAGAGGAAAUAAUCAAGGCUCACCUGGGAAAGCAACACAGCUUCACCAUCAUUCUCUCGUCCCUGAGAAAAUAAAUCAAAACAAACAAGUAUAUUGAGCACUGGGUGUUCAAAACCACAUGAAGAAUUGUUUUUUGUUAAAUUAAAGCCUUAAGUAGUCUUAAAUGAUGUAGCAAAAUAUGCCCAUUCAAUGUGGUUACUUACCUCCUCAGAUAUGAAAGGAUUUUAUAUGGCAGUAUUUUUAUAUUCUACGUUCUUACAAGUUUCACAUAUUCCAUUACUUAAGCGUUCAUAUUUCUCACAAAGACUUACAUUCCUCAGGAGUACAAUGUUUUAGAACAAAGAAUGCAUUCAAUAAAUCUUUACAGAGUUAAUCUUUACAGAGGACAAUUCUCCUGUAGACAGGAGUGAAUACAUAUAAAGGACAAAUAACGAGGCAAGGCCUUUGUACCUUUCAGCCAUCUGCAAAAUGAAGAACUGAAUUCAAAUUUUGAUAGGCAUGGCUUUCAGAGAAGUCUGACAGAAGCUAUGCAUGAAUUUCUUUUUUUCUCUUUUACAGUUCCCUUCUUACUUAAAAAAAAAAAAUCCUGAAGUGGCUUAGUGAUAUAAACUAUGGAGAGAGGUGUGGGUGGUUCUUUUAAGUGCACAAUAACCAACAGGUCUCCCUCCUGGAAAAAUUCUCAGAUGCUGAGGAAGAUAUUUCCUGUGGCCAAAAGAUUUUCUUCACUAGUUUUUGUCAAAAUGUCUUUUCGCAGUUUAAGUUCUCUGACGUUGACUGAUGUGGGCCCACUUGCAAAAGGCCUUCCCACAUAUCUCAUAGAGUUUAUCUCUGGAAGGAAUUCUUCAAUGCCAAGUGAGGAUGAGCUGCAGGUCACAGCUUUCCUACUGCCACUGAAUUCAGAGUGCUUCUCCUCAGUGUGGCUCUCUAUGUAUCAAAGAAAAAAAAAAAAAGAAAACCCACAAAUUCCCACAUCAUUUGCACUCAAAGGUUUUUUCCUCCAGAGUGGAUCUUACUCUGUUGGGCAAAAGCAGAGUGGUAGCCAAAGUCCUUUCUAUGUUCAAGGCACUCAUAAGGUUUCUCUCCAGUGUGACUCCUUGUAUGUCGAGUGAGGGAAUAGCUGUAGUAAAAACCUUUCCCACAUUCUUUGCACUCGUAGGGCUUUCCUGCAGUGUGGGUCAUACUAUGUCGGAAGAAAACAGAGCGGUAGGUGAAGGUCUUCCCGCACUCACUGCACUUGCAGGGCUUCUCUCCAGUGUGAAUCUUCAUGUGCCGGGUUAAGGAAGAGUUGUAGUAAAAGGUUUUUCCACAUUCUUUGCACCCAAAGAGUUUUUCUCCAGUGUGGGUCACACGAUGCUGGAUGAAGACAGAGUGAUAGCUGAAGGUCUUUCCACACUCGCUGCACUCAUAGGGCUUCUCUCCAGUGUGAAUCUGGCGGUAGCACAGGAGGUGCGACCUGCGGUUGAAGACCUUCCCGCACUCCACGCACUUACAGGGCUUCUCCCCUGUGUGAAUCCUCAUGGGUCGAACGAAGUCGACCUUUUCAGGAAAGGCUUUUCCACACUCCUGGCAUUCAUAAGGCUUCACCCCAGUGUGAAUCUGCUGAUGUCGAACAAGGAGGCUGUUUUUGUUAAACACGCUCCCACAUUCCUUGCAUUUGUAGGUCUUCCCCUCACGAACCAAAGUGUCUUUACUUGGUCCCUGGGAGUCACAUUCAUGGAGAUUGUCUCCUGUGGAGACCUGCUCCUGUAAAACCUGUGAGUGCAGACCAUCACCUGUCCCCAACCCAUCGCGUUUAGGGCUCAUCUUCCUCCAGAAGGUCUCCGUGUGGGAGACUGCAGCCAAACUCAAGUGCCCUUCUGCAUUUCCAACUGUGUCCGGAAUUGGUGGGUUCUUGGUCUCACUGACUUCAAGAAUGAAGCCGCGGACCCUUGUGGUGAGUGUUACAGCUCUUAAGGUGGCGCGUCUAGAGUUUGUUCCUUCUGAUGUUCGGAUGUGUUCGGAGUUUCUUCCUUCUGGCGGGUUCGUGGUCUCGCUGGCUCAGGAGUGAAGCUGCAGACCUUCGUGGUGAGUGUUACAGCUCUUAAGGCUUAAGGCGGCGCGUCUGGAGUUGUUCGUUCCUCCCGGUGGGCUCGUGGUCUCGCUGGCUUCAGGAGUGAAGCUGCAGACGUUUGCGGUGAGUGUUACAGCUGGUAAAAGCAGUGUGGACCCAAAGAGUGAGAAGUAGCAAGAUUUAUUGCAAAGAGCGAAAGAACAAAGCUUCCACAGUGUGGAAAGGGACCCCAGCGGGUUGCCACUGCUGGCUCCGGCAGCCUGCUUUCAUUCUCUUAUCUGGCCCCACCCACAUCCUGCUGAUUGGUAGAGGCCUGGUCUGUUUUGACAGGGCGCUGAUUGGUGUGUUUACAAUUCCUGAGCUAGACACAAAGGUUCUCCACGUCCCCACUAGAUUAGCUAGACACAGAGUGUGGACAUAAAGGUUCUCUAAGUCCCCACCAGAGUAGCUAGAUACAGAGUGUCCAUUGGUGCAUUCACAAACCCUGAGCUAGACACAGGGUGCUGAUUGGUGUGUUUACAAACCUUGAGCUAGAUACAGAGUGCCGAUUGGUGUAUUUACAAUCCCUGAGCUAGACAUAAAGGUUCUCCAAGGCCCCACCAGAGUAGCUAGAUACAGAGUGUAGAUUGGUGCAUUCACAAACCCUGAGCUAGACACAGGGUGCUGAUUGGUGUGUUUACAAACCUUGAGCUAGAUACAGAGUGCUGAUCAGUGUAUUUACAAUCCCUGAGCUAGACAUAAAGGUUCUCCAAGGCCCCACCAGAGUAGCUAGGUACAGAGUGUCCAUUGGUGCAUUCACAAACCCUGAGCUAGACACAGGGUGCUGAUUGGUGUAUUUACAAUCCCUGAGCUACACAUAAAGGUUCUCCAUGUCCCCACCAGACUCAGAAGCCCAGCUGGCUUCACCCAGUGGAUCCCGCACCGGGGCUGCAGGUGGAGCUGCCUGCCAGUCCUGCGCCAUGCACCCGCACUCCUCAGCCCUUGGGUGGUCGAUGGGACUGGGUGCCGUGGAGCAGGGGGCGGCGCUCAUCGGGGAGGAUCGGGCCGUACAGGAGCCCACGGAGGGGGUGGGAGGCUCAGGCAUGGCGGGCUGCAGGUCCCGAGCCCUGCCCCACGGGAAGGCAGCUAAGGCCCAGCAAGAAAUCGAGUGCAGCGCCGGUGGGCUGGCACUGCUGGGGGACCCAGUACACCCUCCGCAGCCGCUGGCCCGGGUGCUAAGCCCCUCAUUGCCUGGGGCCGGCAGGGCCGGCCGGCUGCUCCGAGUGUGGGGCCCGCCAAGCCCAUGCCCACUCUGAACUCCAACUGGCCCGCAAGUGCCGCGUGCAGCCCGGGUUCCCGCUCUUUCCUCUCCCUCCACACCUCCCUGCAAGCUGAGGGAGCCGGCUCCGGCCUUGGCCAGCCCAGAAAGGGGCUCCCACAGUGCAGCAGUGGGCUGAAGGGCUCCUCAAGUGCCGCCAAAGUGGGAGCCCAGGCAGAGGAGGCGCCGAGAGCGAGCGAGGGCUGUGAGGACUGCCAGCACGCUGUCACCUCUCACAACCACUCUUUCCCUCACUCACCUCAACCUGGAGGAACUUCUGGCUCCCUGAGUUAGUCUUUCCAGGAGCAAGGCUCCCUAGGACAAGGCUGGCUGGCUUUGGCUUUUACUUUGUCACCUGGACAGCAGCUUUAGCAAAGGUAUUUUCUGCUCUUUUAUCACUGCUUCAGCUAGUAGGUCAACUGUGGUUUGCAUGCCCCCGUGACGAGUGGUCUGCAGGUCUCUGGUGUCACCUCCCAGUACGGGGUCCUCUGGGGCUGGUCCAGCUGCUCCCACUUCUUCCAGGUUAAGAUCAUGGACAUGUCCUGCACCACUGCCUCGGAUGUCGCUGCAAUGGAGCAAGACAAAAGCCACGCGGCACCUGCAUCCGCAUAUGCAGAGAGUACUUCCGACUACAGAUACCAGAGAGCCGCGUGCAGCCUCCGCCAGCCGAACUACAAGUCUCAGAGGCCUCAGUUUCAUUUUUUAAUUCCUGGGAAUUUAACCCUCAAUUAUUCUAAAUGGAAGUUGAUGCCGGUUGGGUCGGGGCGACCUGCAAGCUUGCGCACAAACGUGCACAUAAGAACAUACAUGUAAGGAACCUGUUCAUGCAGGGCGUGGAGAGAGUGUGUCCCACUUAUCACUUAAUUUUACCCGCUGACCCCACGAUAAACUGUACCAAGGGGCUGGCCAUUAAAGUCAAUCCAGUCAAAAUACUCAGUGUGGAGAAGACAUGGAAAUUCAGGAUCUCUUUUAUGUUGUGGAUGGUUCUGUAAUUAGUAAAAUCACUUUGGAAAAGUUUGGUCCUAUGUCCUAAAGGUCUUUCCAAAACAAAGCUUUCCCACAUGUACCAGGAAAUGUGUUCCAGAAUGCUCACAUUAGCAAACACCUGGAGAGAGUUCAGGAAAGAGGAUGGCCGCUACACAGAAUACAACAUUGUUCAGCCGCCUGGGACUGCUGCCGUCCAGUACUUCUCCCAGGGGAGCCAGGGAAGCAUCACAGUUUAUGUUGCAGAAUCCUCAAAAAUGAAGGGUGUAACAGCACCAAAUCGCUCUGGAGCUGGUGAGGAGUGGAAGCCAUCAUAUGGAGAUUGGUGGCAGUGGCUUGAGCUUUGAGCAAGACCCUGAUCCACUGCCCUCCCCUUCCCAAAAUGCAGCUGGUUUUUAAAGUGAAGAGAGGAUCUUGGAACCAGGGAAUGAGAAGCAAAUUGGACAGUUCUGGCGAAUACUGAAGAAGAGAACUGAUGGUCACUGACAUAUGGACCCCUCACUCCACCCCUCUUUGCUCGUCAUAGCAGCUGUUUGGAAUGUUCCUCUCUCAGAAUCUAAUCAGCUCAAGAGGAGAGACCCAAAGACGCUGAUAUUGCAGUUCUCCCAGUGAGGUGGCCUGGCACGUUGACUUUUAGCAAAUACUUAUACUUUGUUUUAUUUUUCUUUCUUCUGUGCUGGCCAGAACCUCUAUCUACUAUAUUGAAAAGAAGAGGUGCUAUCAAAUGCCAUUUUCAUUUUGCUGAUUAAAAAAAAUUCUUCUAAUGUUUCAUAAUUAAGAAUGUGUGUAGUGUGAAAUUUUACUGGUAUCACCAGCUUGAUUAGUUUUAUAAGAUAUAAAUAUUGGGGUCAGAGAAAUAAAAGAGCAGGCAGACAUGCUAACUGAAAAAUCCAACAGAGUUUUCUCACCCAAAGUAUUUGGAACAAAUCAGUACAGUCACAAUACAAGGCAGAAGGCUCAGCUGUGUUAUCCAGACAGCAAGAGUCUCCCCAAGAUGGGAGGCAAUAGUGGAUGGCAAUGACUUAGGCUGCUAUGCAUGAGCUCUUCUGAAUCGGUUCUGAACUGUCUUGCCAGGGACAGUGCCUUCAUCAUUCUUAGGACGCUGCACAUUUGAUGGUGAAGUUCUCUCCAGCAGUGGUUCUCAAAGUGUCAUUCCUGGUCUCUGUUGUGCUUAUUUUUAAGAGUUAAAGAGCUGGGCGCGGUGGCUCAGGCCUGUAAUUCUAGCACUUUGGGAGGCCAAGGCAGGCGGUUCACAAGGUCAGGAGUUUGAGACCAGCCUGGCCAACAUGGCGAAACCCAAUCUCUCCUAAAAAUACAAAAAUUAGCUGGGCGUGGUGGUACGUGCCUGUAAUCCCAGCUAUUCAAGAGGGUGAGGCAGGAGAAUUACUUGAAUCUGGGAGUCGGAGGUUGCAGUGAGCUAAGAUGGUGCCACUGCACUCCAGCCUGGGCAACAGAGCAAGACUCUGUCUUGAGAAAAAAAAAAGAGUUAAAGAAAGCUGAUCACUAAAUACAUGCAAUCUAACCAUGAUCAUGUGGGCGGUUACAAAAUGCAUUAGUUUUAUUUCUUGGAAAUGUCUAUUUUUUUCUUUAAUGAAUUUGUCUUUCAGCAUAUGGUUUUAAUGAUAUAAAACAGCUCCUAAAAAUGAUAAAAAAAAUUUCUCUCAUUUGAGCUGUCAGUAGCAAAGCUUGUAAGUAAUGUGACUAUCUCAGCAAAAAGUUGGUACGAAUUAGAUCAUAUCAGUAACAAUGCCCAGAGUCUGCUCUCUGGAAAUUCUCAGGGGGUUUCUCACAAGGAAUCCUGUGGAUGACUUAACCAAUGUGACUAUAGACUCUCACCUGCAAUUUUUGGUCCUUGGACACACCCAUGGACUUCCCCUUAUCACUGUAAUCCAGGCAUGAACAUAAACUCUCUAGUGUUAGACCAAACUGUGGCUUUAACAAGACUUUUCUUAGGGCUGGGGAUCACAGAGGGACGUUCAUAUAAAGAAUAACAACUGGCUACUAGAUAGGGCUGUUCUUGGAGUCCUCAGUUCCCAGUCCAUUCAGCUGGCCUCCAUACAGCUCCCUUCUGCUCAGAGCCCAUUCUCUUCACCACCAUUUUAGGAAGAGGCCAGUUUUUCUCUACCACCCAGAAACAUCUCACACAUGCCUCAAUUCCACAGUGUCUAGGCCGAAGUCAAAGUCCAGACAGAGGAACUAACCCCAAUCCAGGCCUGUAUUCCCCAUUUUCUGUUUCCAUAUUUUACAAAGAUGCCUAAUCAGUAUAUUAUCUUCUUCCUUCAGUAGAGAAUCCACCUUCAUUCACACAAUUGUGGCCUUACCCUAUGACUCCAAUAGUAUAGCCCCUUAGAACAUAGUGUCACAUUUCCAGAAGAUAUACAUACUUACCACUUUGGGUUGAAUUGAUCCCUCCAAAAGGAUGAAGUCCUAACCUCCAGUACAUGAGCAUGUGACCUUAUUUGGAAACAGAAUCUUUGCAGACGAUCAAGUUAAAAUGAGGUCAUUAGGAUAGGCCCAACUAAAAUGUCUUUGCC